RNAcentral lists this non-coding RNA (23 nucleotides) under Arabidopsis thaliana (thale cress). Lineage: Eukaryota; Viridiplantae; Streptophyta; Magnoliopsida; Brassicales; Brassicaceae. The record is from RNAcentral.
UGUGGCCACCCAAAGCAGAAGGA